UCAUCAGGAUGUGAGCUCUGUGACUUUCCUGAUUCAGCCACAUCAGCAUAAGGUUCUUUUUCGGAGUCUCUGACCUUUCCUGAAUCAUCCAUGUCAGCAUAAGCUUACUUCCUUGAGGUUGGUGUGGAAAGGGGAUAUAAGAAGGAACCAAAGAUUAUAAAGGAAGGCAGAAGAACGUGCCACUAAUAAAGAGCAUAUUGAUUUCAUCUCUUCUGGCUUGUGACUCUCUUUGGUGAACAUGGCUGGCUCAUAUCCAAAUGCACACUGAAGCUUGAGAGAAGGAGGAAAUAAAGUCGUCCUUGGAGAAGGGUGGGAGAAGAAGAGGCUGAAGAUGUCUAUUCUAUCUUCUUUCAAGCUAUACAAUGACACCUUCAUGUUAUGUUACAUGUGGGAAAAAGUAUGUAAUUUAUUGUUUUGUUGAAUAUUUUAGAUUUAAGCAACAGAGAAUGAUGGAGAAAAUGUGAAAGAUGCAGAUUAAACUAAAAGUAUUGGUUGUACCUUAUGUUUUCUCUAGUUGUUAAGCAUUUACCAACACCUCUCCAGCCAGUCUUGCCAUCUCAGUUUGAAAACUUCUUCUGUGAUCUUUUAGCUGAUUUCAUUUUUUGGUGUCUUCAUGUAGUUUUUAGUUUGCCUAGUCUCCAGUGCCACUCUCUCUGGUGGUAGUAAUUUCUAUGCUUCUUUGGUUCAACUCCCUUGGCACAAACCCUAAGCUCACAAUAUUUACCUGUGGCUCCAAAAAAGCUGUAGCAUGCACAAAUGGUCACAUAAUAGUAAAACUACCUCAGCAGAUUGCCCAAACUGGGUUGAAGAUAACUAACAAGCCUCAAGUCCAUUUCUACCCCAAGCAUGUGAAAAUCUCUCCUAACAAUGAAUGGAUGAGAACAGUUUUUUCCAAUGGCCAUGAAGGCAGUUGAAGCAGGUACUGAGAGUGCUUAGAGCUGGGUCAGACAUUAAAGAUAACAAGGUAUUCUACUGAAUCCCAUAUCAUCACCAGUUAUCUUUUUUUGGAAGUUAUUUAAUAAAUGUCUAUUGAAUUGAA
Long non-coding RNA from Antechinus flavipes (yellow-footed antechinus), 1039 nucleotides. RefSeq lists it as uncharacterized. NCBI's taxonomy places the organism in Eukaryota, Metazoa, Chordata, Mammalia, Dasyuromorphia, Dasyuridae. The record is from RefSeq and is a predicted model, not a curated record. The transcript is spliced from 2 exons.